AUUUUAAUAGUUUAAAAAAAACAUUGAUAUUGUAAAUCAAAUUUAUAAUUUAUUUAUUUAAAAUA
RNAcentral lists this transfer RNA (65 nucleotides) under Daktulosphaira vitifoliae (grape phylloxera). RNAcentral's name for it is "tRNA-Thr". The record is from RNAcentral. Lineage: Eukaryota; Metazoa; Arthropoda; Insecta; Hemiptera; Phylloxeridae.